UUUGAACCUUCUCAAUUAUGAGCUAUUUAGGAACGUGGCAACUCAAAAAACUUGUACUUAGCUACUGUCCAAAAGGCGGAUCAAGCGCAGGAAUACGAAAACUGAUUGCAUCUUCGAGCUUUGACACAUUCAAGCAACAAAACCCUCAACUUAUCGUUGAAACAGAAAAACGAGCCUGCCGACAUCCGCACCUAAUUGGCACAUACAUUCACGAUGGAAAAAAAACGCUAUGUGUAAAGAACACAGAACCGAGUUUUAUCCUGUCCCAAAUGAAUCGCCUACGAGACUCUCGAGGAUAUAAAGCGCGCACCUGGGUUGAAAAACAUCGUGUCGUCACCAAGAAUCCCUCUAUUCAAGGACAGUGGACACCUUUUUUCAAAUUCGCCGAUCCACCAGUACAAACUUAAAAGCCCUCUCUCUCCUACAUAUGGCACAAAAACUAUCUAUCAACGCAAAUGCAUGCGCAUACCAGACGCCCAGCCUAUCUUGAACUUUCCUGUUUUGGGAUGAGCGACACACUUCUAAAAAUCACCUUGACGCAUGAACACAUUUCAUAAUCUAAUUCAACCGAGUUUUCUUUUUCUUCUUGACAUAAAGCGUUAGAAAAAUCUGUACUUCACGUUCCUCUUUUUUAUCGUCCGCACCUUGUCUAAAAAGAUUUAUCGUCCGUACCUUGUCUAAAAAUCAGAUGCGUUCCAAUUGUCUCGGAAAAUGUUCCCUCGAAUAACAUGUCGUCGAUCUGGAGCAUAGGAUGUUCUGUCUCUAAUCCCUAUUCACGCCACGACCGGUAUAAACUCGUCAGCGCACAUUUUUGACAGUUGUACAAAACCAACCUCGUCUGCAUGCGCGUACAACAAUGCUGUAUUUUUUGCAGUUAGCCAGUAAAUUGGUCGUCGAAAAUUCUGGAAUCUCAAUAAUGGCAUGAAUCUUUUUGGCAGUCAUUUAUCGUUGCUUCCUGCCUUGAAAAAAAGUGUCAAAUUAAUGCGCAGAUAUUUUUUUUGUCCUUUAACAUCGACCGUUUAUUUUUUCUCACAGGAUCCAGCGAAUCAGUACUGCUGCUAAGGAAAUAAAAACCUAGAGAUGAAUACAACAAAUGAUGCUUUUCUCCAAGAAACGCACAGACCAGGAAAACUUGUCGAGUCAAGAGCGGAUUCCUGUCAGAUGAAUGCCACGUCUUCCUUUUUCCAGAAUGGAGACAUGCUACAGCUUUUAGAGGAUUCAAAAAACCGAGACGCGACGAAUCUCGGGUCAUCACUACAGGGAAAUUCGGCCGCCGAAAACCUCAUCACUAUCAAAUUGUUUGUAGAGUCUGUGAAAGAAGUUGAGUCUCUGUUUUCGAAGUUUGCUGAACCGCUGCUACAGCAAGAGAUAGAACUCUUAGAGUUUGAAGAGAAGCUUGAAAAACUGCACGAGUCAUACUCAGAUUACAGUAAAACACUGAGGAGUAAACACUCAAUAAUAGUCGAAAACAUAAAAUCAUAUUUGACGACUCUCACGAAUGAGACAAUAUAAGGUUUAGCAAGAACACCGACAAAAUGUGGACAUAUAGAAGCAGCCUGCGCAUUCUUGCCUCACAGUUUCCUCUAAUGGCGCUAUUUUUUGGAUAUAGAGACCUCAUUUACCAAUUAGAAAGAUGCGAUGUAUGUCGCAUUUUGAAUUUUUGUAGUUAUAAAAAACACAAUUAUUUGACA
Schistocerca gregaria is the source of this 1691-nucleotide long non-coding RNA. RefSeq lists it as uncharacterized. The record is from RefSeq and is a predicted model, not a curated record. The transcript has 4 exons. NCBI's taxonomy places the organism in Eukaryota, Metazoa, Arthropoda, Insecta, Orthoptera, Acrididae.